AGGAGAAUAAUUAUCCCCGUUGGGUCGUUAGCUCAGUUGGUAGAGCAGUUGACUCUUAAUCAAUUGGUCGCAG
This 73-nucleotide transfer RNA is filed under the name Yersinia enterocolitica (type O:5,27) str. YE149/02. Its description in RNAcentral is "transfer RNA-Lys". The stretch from base 22 to 73 matches the Rfam family "tRNA", at positions 1 to 50 of the family's 71-position model. From Rfam's summary of the family: Transfer RNA (tRNA) molecules are approximately 80 nucleotides in length. Their secondary structure includes four short double-helical elements and three loops (D, anti-codon, and T loops). Lineage: Bacteria; Pseudomonadati; Pseudomonadota; Gammaproteobacteria; Enterobacterales; Yersiniaceae. The record is from RNAcentral.